AACACUUUACCAAUCAGUACUGGAGUCAGGAAGGGUGCAGGUCGACACUCGGGGAAACAAAGUGGGAACAAGAAAUGAAGGCAAGAAGGAAGACUUCUGGAAGAAGAACCUGACCUGAGCUUCGAGGAAUGAGUAGUUAUUUUGGUUCCCCCACAAACACCAUAACAUCAAGAGAUGGGGAGGAAUGGAGCGCCCUGUGAAUCUCAUGAAGAAACUUUCCUGGUUUGUAUUUGCGGGCCAGUCAACUGCAGCCGCCAGAUCAGAGGGACAAGGGAGGAUUAUCGGACCAGCUGGUCAAAGCACACCACAGGCUGCUCUCCAGUUCCAAAAGGGAGGUUCUGUGACUUGAGGAAGGAUGAAACCAUCGGAGUGUGAGUUCCUUCCGCCACAGACUCCACUGACUCAAGCUUCUCCAAGAUGAGGGCUGUCUAUCCACUCCACUCUCCCUCCAGGCCCACCUCUUGACCUGCAUUGCCCAGCGCAGGGGAAGCAGCUGUCCUGCUUCGUUCUUGAAUUUACCAUUUAAGGACUAGGGGCCCCUUCGGUGUGUUUGUUUGCACACGCUUUAAAUUGAUUGCUAUGUCUGGUAAAUCUAGAACAAGAGCAGAAUGCUAGCAAGGGCAGAGGUGACGGGAUUGAGUGAGACAAUUUAAUACCCAGCACCACACUUGCGUAACACGUUUUAAUUAUUAACAUGGUAGGUAUCUGAUGCUGGGCAUUAUUUUGAGCUGCUCGUAUGUUAAAUGCUUCAUAGGUGUUCCUUACAUUGAGCUCUAAAUCCCCGCUGAGCGUCUUCACCUCUCUGUAACCUCACCCCCUCCUUGCCAGGACUUCCAGUAUGCAACCAAGAUAAAAAUGA
Molecule: long non-coding RNA, 859 nt
Organism: Alexandromys fortis (reed vole)
Lineage: Eukaryota; Metazoa; Chordata; Mammalia; Rodentia; Cricetidae
Exons: 3
Source: RefSeq, a predicted model, not a curated record